UACGUAGGUGGCAAGCGUUGUCCGGAUUUACUGGGCGUAAAGAGCGCGCAGGCGGUCGUUCAAGUCGCGUGUGAAAGCCCCCGGCUCAACUGGGGAGGGUCACGCGAUACUGAUCGACUCGAAGGCAGGAGAGGGUAGUGGAAUUCCCGGUGUAGCGGUGAAAUGCGCAGAUAUCAGGAAGAACACCCGUGGCGAAGGCGGCUUUCUGGGACGGUACUGACGCUGAGACGCGAAAGCGUGGGGAGCGAACAGG
Molecule: ribosomal RNA, 253 nt
Filed under: uncultured bacterium
Lineage: Bacteria
Description: partial 16S ribosomal RNA
Rfam family: Bacterial small subunit ribosomal RNA
Source: RNAcentral